RNAcentral lists this small nucleolar RNA (133 nucleotides) under Sphenodon punctatus (tuatara). RNAcentral describes it as "Small nucleolar RNA SNORA55 (ENSSPUG00000003275.1)". It matches the Rfam family "Small nucleolar RNA SNORA55". Rfam says of the family: ACA55 is a member of the H/ACA class of snoRNA that guide the sites of modification of uridines to pseudouridines. The record is from Rfam by way of RNAcentral. Lineage: Eukaryota; Metazoa; Chordata; Lepidosauria; Sphenodontia; Sphenodontidae.
GCACCUGAAUCUUUCCCACUCCUGGCUGUGCAGUGCAGGUUUGGGGACACAUGGUGCCACAGCAAAGCAGAGGAAAUCCAGACAAGUUACCUUUCACAUUCCUGGGACUUGUCUCUACAACUCUGCAACACUU